UACAGGGGGUGCAAACGUUGCUCGGAAUCACUGGGCGUAAAGGGCGUGUAGGCGGGAAGGAAAGUCAGAUGUGAAAUCCCUGGGCUCAACCCAGGAACUGCAUUUGAAACUCCCUUUCUUGAGUGUCGGAGAGGAGAGCGGAAUUCCUGGUGUAGCGGUGAAAUGCGUUGAUAUCAGGAGGAACACCCAUGGCGAAGGCAGCAUACUGGUCAUCAUCUGACGCUGAGGCGCGAAAGCGUGGGUAGCAAACAGG
This 253-nucleotide ribosomal RNA is filed under the name uncultured bacterium. RNAcentral describes it as "partial 16S ribosomal RNA". It matches the Rfam family "Bacterial small subunit ribosomal RNA", at positions 524 to 776 of the family's 1533-position model. The record is from RNAcentral.